Molecule: transfer RNA, 72 nt
Filed under: Camelus dromedarius (Arabian camel)
Lineage: Eukaryota; Metazoa; Chordata; Mammalia; Artiodactyla; Camelidae
Also listed under: 1 other name
Rfam family: tRNA
About the family: Transfer RNA (tRNA) molecules are approximately 80 nucleotides in length. Their secondary structure includes four short double-helical elements and three loops (D, anti-codon, and T loops).
Source: Rfam by way of RNAcentral
GUGGGUGUAGCUCAAUGGUAGAGCACAUGCUUAGCAUGCAGGAGGUCCUGGGUUCAAUCCCCAGUACCGCCA